UUUUAAAUGUGGGGAUUAGGUACGUAAAUAGAUUUUUUAUUUAUGUUUAAUAGGGAAUUCGGUGAAAUUCCGAAGCGGUCCCGCCACUGAACGAAGCUGAGCUGUUAUUUUUAAUCACUGAUGGAAAACCAUCGGGAAGAUUUUAACAGUAUUGACGCUUUAAAGCCAGGAGACCUGCCUAAUCUAACAGCACUGU
RNAcentral lists this non-coding RNA (196 nucleotides) under Bacillus sp. (in: firmicutes). Lineage: Bacteria; Bacillati; Bacillota; Bacilli; Caryophanales; Bacillaceae. The record is from RNAcentral.